RNAcentral lists this long non-coding RNA (577 nucleotides) under Marmota monax (woodchuck). The record is from RNAcentral. Lineage: Eukaryota; Metazoa; Chordata; Mammalia; Rodentia; Sciuridae.
UCUUGCACUCUUAGACUUCACUCAGGCCUUCACCCACUGGCAACCUGAGCUCAUUCUGUGCUAAGAAAACAAAGUUGUGAAAUAGGGAGUCCCUCUUUUCCCCAGCAGCUGAUGUACAUAGCUACCCCCAUUGGGGAUGAUUCUGCUCUCCUCUGAUUAAGGCUUCCUAUCAUCCAGAAUAAAAUCCCUGCCCCUUGUCCUUGACUAGAAGGCAUCAGCUCCUCUUGGAAAUUCUCCAUUUCCCCCUCACUCUCUCUGCUCCAGCCACACUACCUUCCCCCUCCCUGUCCCUUGGUCACAGGCACUUUGUCAAGCCUUUGCACAGGUGUUCUCUGCUGCAACGUUCAUCCUACCUUGCCAGAUCUUCUCCACAGUCAAGUCUCAGUUCACUCUCCCUGUCGUCCGACUGUCAUCAGAAGUAACCCAGGCUACUCUCUCAUCCAUAACCCUGUCUUCUUUUCUACAGAUCACCAGUCACCUUCUGAAAGUUUCUUGUUUAUUUAUCUCUUCAUUGCUUCUUCCCUCACUGGAAACAAGUUCCACGACAGCACGGUCUUUAUUCUUCCUAUUACCUGAC